CAGCCGCCACGGUAAUACGUAGGGCGCGAGCGUUAAUCGGAAUUACUGGGCGUAAAGCGUGCGCAGGCGGUUCGUUAAGACAGAUGUGAAAUCCCCGGGCUUAACCUGGGAACUGCAUUUGUGACUGGCGAGCUAGAGUAUGGCAGAGGGGGGUAGAAUUCCACGUGUAGCAGUGAAAUGCGUAGUGAUGUGGAGGAAUACCGAUGGCGAAGGCAGCCCCCUGGGCCAAUACUGACGCUCAUGCACGAAAGCGUGGGGAGCAAACAGGAUUAGAUACCCCCGUAGUCCCUGUCUCUUAUAC
This 301-nucleotide ribosomal RNA is filed under the name uncultured bacterium. Its description in RNAcentral is "partial 16S ribosomal RNA". It matches the Rfam family "Bacterial small subunit ribosomal RNA", at positions 509 to 807 of the family's 1533-position model. The record is from RNAcentral.